UUUUGGGGUACAAAACCCGCCAUUAGGAAAUCCAUGCGUUAACACUACUGCCAAGGAUCCAUCUAACCCUGUCGAGGAAAAACUGGGAUGCAUGAUCUAACCAGGAGAUCACCUAGAUGCCACAGGUGUUCGAGCUAACUUUCGGACCAUCGGUCAUUUUUUUAAGUUCAUCUGGAUUUUACAGUAAUGCAUAAUGUUUUCCUUUAGUGUAGCUUUUGUUAUUCUCCAAAAUUUUAAGGCGUCAUGCGGAUAAGAUAAAUU
This 261-nucleotide long non-coding RNA is filed under the name Lathyrus oleraceus (garden pea). RNAcentral's name for it is "Pisum sativum (pea) long non-coding RNA (PSAT_LNC011853)". Lineage: Eukaryota; Viridiplantae; Streptophyta; Magnoliopsida; Fabales; Fabaceae. The record is from RNAcentral.